AUACCGGAAGGAAGUUAUACCGCAGUGUUCCUUUACCGGACAUCCAAGGAGAGCGACGGCAGAUGUACGGACGGUGU
RNAcentral lists this non-coding RNA (77 nucleotides) under unclassified sequences. RNAcentral's name for it is "CyVA-1 RNA". It matches the Rfam family "CyVA-1 RNA". From Rfam's summary of the family: Cyanobacteria, Acidobacteria (1 example), Verrucomicrobia (1 example). Big IGRs The record is from Rfam by way of RNAcentral.